Molecule: ribosomal RNA, 2902 nt
Filed under: Escherichia coli
Lineage: Bacteria; Pseudomonadati; Pseudomonadota; Gammaproteobacteria; Enterobacterales; Enterobacteriaceae
Description: bacterial LSU rRNA
Rfam family: Bacterial large subunit ribosomal RNA
Source: RNAcentral
UUAAGCGACUAAGCGUACACGGUGGAUGCCCUGGCAGUCAGAGGCGAUGAAGGACGUGCUAAUCUGCGAUAAGCGUCGGUGAGGUGAUAUGAACCGUUAUAACCGGCGAUUUCCGAAUGGGGAAACCCAGUGUGUUUCGUCACACUAUCAUUAACUGAAUCCAUAGGUUAAUGAGGCGAACCGGGGGAACUGAAACAUCUAAGUACCCCGAGGAAAAGAAAUCAACCGAGAUUCCCCCAGUAGCGGCGAGCGAACGGGGAGGAGCCCAGAGCCUGAAUCAGUGUGUGUGUUAGUGGAAGCGUCUGGAAAGGCGCGCGAUACAGGGUGACAGCCCCGUACACAAAAAUGCACAUGCUGUGAGCUCGAUGAGUAGGGCGGGACACGUGGUAUCCUGUCUGAAUAUGGGGGGACCAUCCUCCAAGGCUAAAUACUCCUGACUGACCGAUAGUGAACCAGUACCGUGAGGGAAAGGCGAAAAGAACCCCGGCGAGGGGAGUGAAAAAGAACCUGAAACCGUGUACGUACAAGCAGUGGGAGCCUCUUAAUGGGGUGACUGCGUACCUUUUGUAUAAUGGGUCAGCGACUUAUAUUCUGUAGCAAGGUUAACCGAAUAGGGGAGCCGAAGGGAAACCGAGUCUUAACUGGGCGUUAAGUUGCAGGGUAUAGACCCGAAACCCGGUGAUCUAGCCAUGGGCAGGUUGAAGGUUGGGUAACACUAACUGGAGGACCGAACCGACUAAUGUUGAAAAAUUAGCGGAUGACUUGUGGCUGGGGGUGAAAGGCCAAUCAAACCGGGAGAUAGCUGGUUCUCCCCGAAAGCUAUUUAGGUAGCGCCUCGUGAAUUCAUCUCCGGGGGUAGAGCACUGUUUCGGCAAGGGGGUCAUCCCGACUUACCAACCCGAUGCAAACUGCGAAUACCGGAGAAUGUUAUCACGGGAGACACACGGCGGGUGCUAACGUCCGUCGUGAAGAGGGAAACAACCCAGACCGCCAGCUAAGGUCCCAAAGUCAUGGUUAAGUGGGAAACGAUGUGGGAAGGCCCAGACAGCCAGGAUGUUGGCUUAGAAGCAGCCAUCAUUUAAAGAAAGCGUAAUAGCUCACUGGUCGAGUCGGCCUGCGCGGAAGAUGUAACGGGGCUAAACCAUGCACCGAAGCUGCGGCAGCGACACUAUGUGUUGUUGGGUAGGGGAGCGUUCUGUAAGCCUGUGAAGGUGGCCUGUGAGGGUUGCUGGAGGUAUCAGAAGUGCGAAUGCUGACAUAAGUAACGAUAAAGCGGGUGAAAAGCCCGCUCGCCGGAAGACCAAGGGUUCCUGUCCAACGUUAAUCGGGGCAGGUUGAGUCGACCCCUAAGGCGAGGCCGAAAGGCGUAGUCGAUGGGAAACAGGUUAAUAUUCCUGUACUUGGUGUUACUGCGAAGGGGGGACGGAGAAGGCUAUGUUGGCCGGGCGACGGUUGUCCCGGUUUAAGCGUGUAGGCUGGUUUUCCAGGCAAAUCCGGAAAACCAAGGCUGAGGCGUGAUGACGAGGCACUACGGUGCUGAAGUGACAAAUGCCCUGCUUCCAGGAAAAGCCUCUAAGCAUCAGGUAACAUCAAAUCGUACCCCAAACCGACACAGGUGGUCAGGUAGAGAAUACCAAGGCGCUUGAGAGAACUCGGGUGAAGGAACUAGGCAAAAUGGUGCCGUAACUUCGGGAGAAGGCACGCUGAUAUGUAGGUGAAGCGACUUGCUCGUGGAGCUGAAAUCAGUCGAAGAUACCAGCUGGCUGCAACUGUUUAUUAAAAACACAGCACUGUGCAAACACGAAAGUGGACGUAUACGGUGUGACGCCUGCCCGGUGCCGGAAGGUUAAUUGAUGGGGUUAGCGGUAACGCGAAGCUCUUGAUCGAAGCCCCGGUAAACGGCGGCCGUAACUAUAACGGUCCUAAGGUAGCGAAAUUCCUUGUCGGGUAAGUUCCGACCUGCACGAAUGGCGUAAUGAUGGCCAGGCUGUCUCCACCCGAGACUCAGUGAAAUUGAACUCGCUGUGAAGAUGCAGUGUACCCGCGGCAAGACGGAAAGACCCCGUGAACCUUUACUAUAGCUUGACACUGAACAUUGAGCCUUGAUGUGUAGGAUAGGUGGGAGGCUUUGAAGUGUGGACGCCAGUCUGCAUGGAGCCGACCUUGAAAUACCACCCUUUAAUGUUUGAUGUUCUAACGUUGGCCCCUAAUCGGGGUUGCGGACAGUGUCUGGUGGGUAGUUUGACUGGGGCGGUCUCCUCCUAAAGAGUAACGGAGGAGCACGAAGGUUGGCUAAUCCUGGUCGGACAUCAGGAGGUUAGUGCAAUGGCAUAAGCCAGCUUGACUGCGAGCGUGACGGCGCGAGCAGGUGCGAAAGCAGGUCAUAGUGAUCCGGUGGUUCUGAAUGGAAGGGCCAUCGCUCAACGGAUAAAAGGUACUCCGGGGAUAACAGGCUGAUACCGCCCAAGAGUUCAUAUCGACGGCGGUGUUUGGCACCUCGAUGUCGGCUCAUCACAUCCUGGGGCUGAAGUAGGUCCCAAGGGUAUGGCUGUUCGCCAUUUAAAGUGGUACGCGAGCUGGGUUUAGAACGUCGUGAGACAGUUCGGUCCCUAUCUGCCGUGGGCGCUGGAGAACUGAGGGGGGCUGCUCCUAGUACGAGAGGACCGGAGUGGACGCAUCACUGGUGUUCGGGUUGUCAUGCCAAUGGCACUGCCCGGUAGCUAAAUGCGGAAGAGAUAAGUGCUGAAAGCAUCUAAGCACGAAACUUGCCCCGAGAUGAGUUCUCCCUGAGACUUAGAGUCUCCUGAAGGAACGUUGAAGACGACGACGUUGAUAGGCCGGGUGUGUAAGCGCAGCGAUGCGUUGAGCUAACCGGUACUAAUGAACCGUGAGGCUUAACCUU